Molecule: long non-coding RNA, 236 nt
Filed under: Olea europaea (common olive)
Lineage: Eukaryota; Viridiplantae; Streptophyta; Magnoliopsida; Lamiales; Oleaceae
Description: long non-coding RNA (OEUR_LNC005236)
Source: RNAcentral
GAAAAAGGACCAAAACGGAACAAAGCGAUAGAUCGAGGACCAAGUUGCAAAUAAUCCAUAGAUGAGACGGGAAAUGAAAUGAAGAUUCAAGAGUGUUAAAGUUCAAUCGGAUGAGGAAAGGAGUCAAGAGGUGAAAUAUGGUCGAAGUAUUAUCAAGUAUCAAAUUUCAAGCGAAAAAGUUAUGCUCGUGAUUUUGAGUCUCUACUUGAGAUCCAUUUUUGGUAUAGUAAAUAUCA